AUUGAACGCUGGCGGCAUGCCUUACACAUGCAAGUCGAACGGUAACAGGUCUUCGGAUGCUGACGAGUGGCGAACGGGUGAGUAAUACAUCGGAACGUGCCCGAUCGUGGGGGAUAACGAAGCGAAAGCUUUGCUAAUACCGCAUACGAUCUACGGAUGAAAGCAGGGGACCGCAAGGCCUUGCGCGAACGGAGCGGCCGAUGGCAGGUUAGGUAGUUGGUGGGAUAAAAGCUUACCAAGCCGACGAUCUGUAGCUGGUCUGAGAGGACGACCAGCCACACUGGGACUGAGACACGGCCCAGACUCCUACGGGAGGCAGCAGUGGGGAAUUUUGGACAAUGGGCGAAAGCCUGAUCCAGUCAUGCCGCGUGCAGGAUGAAGGCCUUCGGGUUGUAAACUGCUUUUGUACGGAACGAAAAGACUCUGGUUAAUACCUGGGGUCCAUGACGGUACCGUAAGAAUAAGCACCGGCUAACUACGUG
Molecule: ribosomal RNA, 482 nt
Filed under: uncultured bacterium
Lineage: Bacteria
Description: partial 16S ribosomal RNA
Rfam family: Bacterial small subunit ribosomal RNA
Source: RNAcentral